RNAcentral lists this unclassified non-coding RNA (352 nucleotides) under uncultured Sporidiobolales. RNAcentral's name for it is "sequence contains ITS1". The stretch from base 1 to 105 matches the Rfam family "5.8S ribosomal RNA", at positions 50 to 154 of the family's 154-position model. Lineage: Eukaryota; Fungi; Basidiomycota; Microbotryomycetes; Sporidiobolales. The record is from RNAcentral.
GAAAUGCGAUACGUAAUGUGAAUUGCAGAAUUCAGUGAAUCAUCGAAUCUUUGAACGCACCUUGCACUCUUUGGUAUUCCGAAGAGUAUGUCUGUUUGAGUGUCAUGAAACUCUCAACCCCCUCAUUUUGUAAUGAAGUGAGUCGUGGGCUUGGAUUAUGGCUGUCUGUCGGCUUAAGUGCCGGCUCAGCUGAAAUACACGAGUAACCCAGUUUGAAAAUCUGACGGCUUGACUCGGCGUAAUAAUUAUUAUCGCUGAGGACGUCUAGCCUUCAAAUCGUUAGUGGUGCUUCUAAUGCAAAUCAUUUUAAGAUUUAGACCUCAAAUCAGUCAGGAUUACCCGCUGAACUUAA